RNAcentral lists this ribosomal RNA (386 nucleotides) under uncultured eukaryote. RNAcentral's name for it is "bacterial SSU rRNA". It matches the Rfam family "Eukaryotic small subunit ribosomal RNA", at positions 592 to 945 of the family's 1831-position model. The record is from RNAcentral.
CAAUAGCGUAUAUUAAAGUUGUUGCGGUUAAAAAGCUCGUAGUUGGAUUUCUGCUGAGGACGACCGGUCCGCCCUCCGGGUGAGCAUCUGGUUCGGCCUUGGCAUCUUCUUGGUGAACGUAUCUGCACUUGACUGUGUGGUGCGGUACCCAGGACUUUUACUUUGAGGAAAUUAGAGUGUUUCAAGCAGGCAUACGCCUUGAAUACAUUAGCAUGGAAUAAUAAGAUAGGACCUCGGUUCUAUUUUGUUGGUUCUAGAGCUGAGGUAAUGAUUAAUAGGGAUAGUUUGGGGGGCAUUUAGUGAUUUAACUUUGAAUCCUAGGUCAAGGGUGAAAAUUGGUCGUUAAAUUCGGUUAGGAUUUUUUGGUUUUAAAAAAGGAACCGGGG